CUAUCUGCAGAUCACAGCUAGAAAUCGUUUACAGUUUCAUUCUUUUCGUUCCAGAAUUGAUUCUCUUACCUCCUGUUUGGUUGUCGAGAAAAUGAACGAUUACGACGGAAAAUAGAUAUUGAUUCGAUCGAGCAAUUGAAGCACUUGGAUCAUAUGAGGUUCUUACUUGGUUGGAUUGGUCCCCAAGCCCUUGAUUCGGAUGUACAGAUUUUUCCAGUUCUUUCAAAGAAUCGAUCGUCAUUUGCUGAAUUCACAGAGGUGGGUUGGGGGAGGCUGAAUUUUACGAGUGGAGGAAGUUGUCGGUUUGGGGUUUUGAGUUUGGAGAAGAACGAAGGAGAAGGGGAGCAUAUGCUAUGGGGCAAAGAGGGGAGCAUAUAGCACUCAAGUUCCGGAUUUACGACGGGACAGAUAUAGGAAUCAAUACUUAUGCACCAUCUAUGACAGUAUCAUCUCUUAAGAAAAGGCUACUUGCUGAGUGGCCUCAUGCAAAAACAGUAACACCGAAGUCAGUAGACGAAGUAAAAAUCAUACAUGGUGGCAAAGUUUUAGAGAAUAGCAAGACACUUGCUGAUUCCAGAAUAACCACCGGUAACCAGACCGGUGAGGCUGUGAUCAUGCAUGCAGUAGUACAGCCUCUUGUACCCAAAAACAAAAGGACAGGAAAAAAACAGAAAGAUAUGCAAAAGAUGAAUUCAUGCUCCUGCACCCUCCUUUAAUCUGGGAAGCAGGCUCUCUGCAGCUUCGAUUUCAGCGGACUGAUCGCGUUCGGUUUUCUCAAAUUUUUGUAAUUUUUUCCUUCAUAUUUGAUGAUGCAGUUAAAGUUUCCUUUGUUACCUAAAGUUAUUGCUCGGUUCGUGUCAAACACUUGUUACCAUUUCACGUGUUAUCGUGUGGUAAAUUUUGAUGUGCUUUCACUUGGAAUAGUAACAUUAGGUGACGUCGUUUCAAGCACGCCUAAAAGUUACUUACAUAUAUAAGAUUUACCGUAAUAAUUUGUUUACUUAUUUUCAAGAGUGUUGAAAUUAUUUUAAUUCUUUGAAUUCUCUGCAUUUACUAGCAUACUAGUAGUAAAAUUUUGUCGCCUUCUAACUUUUCAUGUGUUCACUAAUACAUAUGAAUUUCACAUAAUAAUCCGUAAUUCAAUUACUAGAAAAACAAAAAAUGCAAUAAAAAAGAGGUUACCAUACCCAUUCCGUUACCUCAUGUUUCCAACUUUUCUUUUGGUACCAGUAGUACUAUACUAUAAACUAAUUUAGAGUGCGGAAAUGAAAUUCAAACUCGGAUCCAUUGGAAGCGUAUCCACUAUAGCCAAUAUGGGCAUUUUACCUGCUAAAAAUAGUAUUGGGCGUGCAUGAAUUAGGAAUGGGUCCAAUUCCCAACUGUUUCGAUGUCUUCUUCUUCAAACUUAUAAGUCAGUAGACAAAAAAUAAUGCUUGGCUGCUAAAAGAAGAACAACAAGUUCUGCUGAAAACCAAAUUAAAAAUAGACACGUGUCUAUUUGUUUGGAGUGAUGUUGGUUCAAGUUUUGAAUUCUUUAAUUGUUUGGCCACAUGUCCAUUUGUGAUUGGUCACUCUUGCCUCACAUAUAUUUGUUCAUGCUCUCAGUGUUUUGUAUAAUCCUAGUGUUGAUUAUUGUUGGUUUUGAUGGAAAACAUGAUUUGGGUUUCGCAAUUCAUGUUGUUGGUUGUAUGCUCCGUUUGCAACACCGAACAACAGGUUGCUCAACUUUGUUCCAACUGCGUUGUCAACAUGGUGGCAGGGGCGGAUCUACUAAGGGACGUGGUCCCAGGACCACCCGGAAGUCAGAAUAAGUGGCUGUAAGGACCUUCGAGGACCACCCGAGUCUUGGUGUGUGAAGGUAAUGGCGGCUGAUGAAGAAGAACCAGGAGGCAGCCUGAGGAAGAAGAAGGAGAAAAACUGCUCUUUUUUUUCUUAACCCUCGACUAAACGGUGUCGUUUCAUCUAUUCAUUUAAUGAGUAUUUGCGAGGUUGUUUGUUUUUGGCCCUUGGCUUAUAGAGAUUUAUCUAUUCAUUUACUGAGUAUUUGUGAGGCUGUUAGUUUUUGGGCCCUAACUUA
Malus domestica (apple) is the source of this 2077-nucleotide non-coding RNA. Lineage: Eukaryota; Viridiplantae; Streptophyta; Magnoliopsida; Rosales; Rosaceae. The record is from RefSeq and is a predicted model, not a curated record.